Molecule: long non-coding RNA, 1474 nt
Filed under: Anas platyrhynchos platyrhynchos (common mallard)
Lineage: Eukaryota; Metazoa; Chordata; Aves; Anseriformes; Anatidae
Description: lncRNA (ENSAPLG00000023630.1)
Source: RNAcentral
CUACAAAUGACCAUUUUCACCCUGUGACUAGCUGCAGCGGUGUUCAAGGCAGCGCAGUGCCCAUCGCCCGGGCAGGCAGGGGCAGUGAGCUCUUGACUCAGCUCAGACAUACUGCUCACACUGAGCUUUGAAGAUUGACAGCUUCCACAGGUGAAAAACGCCUGUCAUAAAAACAUCUUAGAGGUCUAAACAAGCAAAACCAUUGAAAAUCAAAACUUAAUAAGAAAAGAUUUGUGUGAGGAAAGAAUUUGAAAAGAGAGUCUAAAAGGGAUUCUGUGUUUACUAAUGGUUCUUGUUUUAUUUCCCUGUUUAAAUAAUCUUCUUUCUGUUUUCCAAAAACAGUUUUUCAAGAAAGAUUUUAAGAUGGGACUGCUCUCAUGGAGCAAAUUAUCGUUAUUUCUAGGGUGAAGCUUUGCAGACAAACAGGAGGGAAAACACAGAGCUCGGCAGCACUGCACAGGAUAUGAGUGUAAAAGUGCAUGGCUUCCCUGCAGAACAUCCAGAGCUCUCCUGUGACUCACAGACACAGAAAAAGAGUAGACUGAACUCCUGGAGAAGGUUAUUUGAAUCACGCAAUCCCUGUUCCCAGUUCUGUGAUCAAUGGGGACUAACAGGAAUGACUCAGUAGGUUACUCCAGAGCUCAGAACUGUUGGAUUGCUGAUUGAUUUCACAGCUAUUCUGGGCUGUUUCCAUCGGUGUGACUCUCCAGUUGCAAAAUGAAUACAAAACUUUCAAAAAGUAAGAAGAUAGAUGGAAAAAUCCCUCUUCCUCCUCUCUCUCACAUACAUAUACAGAGUUUAUUUAAUUAAGCAUACAUUAUUUCAGAUGGAAAAUACCUCAGCUUUCUUUUUUUUUUCAUUGCAGAUGGAUUAAGUGAAGAGUUAACUGAAAAAUCAGGUAUACAAAAUAACUGCUAUAAAAGCAUUUUUGUUACUGUCACUAGUUCCCAAAUUCAAAAAAGCUUGGAGAAAAAAGAAAAAAAGAAAGAAAAAAAGAAAACAAACAAACCUAAACAAGCCUAUUAAAACAAGAAUUUCUGAAGAAAUCCACAUAUUUAGGUGGAAAGAAGCAUAAACAACAAAAGCAUAUUUCUAACACUUCAACUAUUUUUCUGCAUUAAAUUUGCUCACUGCUACAGGCAAGAUGGGGAGCCUCUACACCUGAAAAGAAAGGUGGUCACAAACUUUGACUCUACAAACGAGCACUCCAGAGCCACACAGCUCUGCAGCCACCCAGCCCAUUUGUAGGAACAGGGCUCAGCUUCAUAAAAGACACCUCACGGUCUUGGUAGCUCUGCUAGGGCAGCUUUAACUCUGUGGAGCACUUCUUGAGGCUGAUCCCUGAGCUGCCUCCAUCACCCACUGACCAACAGUAACACCCUGAUGUUUAGCAGCUCUCAAAAAUUGUAAGUUACUUAGCAUGUAUGUAGUAAGUCCUUCUAGGCACUGGGGACAUGUUGCCCUCAUCACAGCC